Non-coding RNA from Thamnophis sirtalis, 566 nucleotides. Lineage: Eukaryota; Metazoa; Chordata; Lepidosauria; Squamata; Natricidae. The record is from RefSeq and is a predicted model, not a curated record.
AUGAAUAAGGCAUGUAGGAACAUAGUAAACUCAUAACAAUAUUCCUUAUUUGUGGGUAUUUCUUAAGGCAAGGCAUAAUAUGUCAUGGAUGGAAUGCUUUUUGUGUUCAAGAUAAAAUAAGUAUUUUACCUGAUCUAUGGGAAUAAUGAAAGAUGACAUUUACAUAUAGAAUGCAAUAUCAAGACAACAUUGAGUACCUGAGCUUAAUCUGGUUGACUGAUGAGCAGCAUAUUAUUAUAUCGUUAAUUGCUUAGCUUUUGAUGGAUGCAAUAAAUUAGCAACACUUCUAAACCUCUUUUCUAUAGUAUAAAUGGAUACACCUUCUCUUUUCUCUCUGUUCUCUUAACUUUCUGCUUGUUGGUUCUUCUUUUUCUGCAGAGGGAGAAUCGCAGGCUUCAGGAAGCCAGCAUGCGACUUGAGCAAGAGAAUGAUGAUCUUGCUCACGAACUUGUAACAAGCAAAAUUGCUCUACGAAAUGACUUGGACCAGGCUGAAGAUAAAGCAGAUGUUUUGAAUAAGGAACUGCUCCUGACGAAACAAAAGCUAGUGGAAACUGAGGAGCAGAA